GGAGGACACGAUGAGAAGUCAGCUGUGUGCAGCCUGCAAGAAGGCUCUCACCAGAACCCAACCAUGCUGGCACUCUGACCUUGAACUUCCAGCCUCCAGAACAGUGAACAAUAAAUGUCUGCUGUUUAUAAGCCUCCCGGCCUGUGGCGUCGGUUAGAGCAGCCCAAACAGAUUCCGAGAGGGCCGAAACGAAGCCAGGGGCCUCGGUUCUCUUCGUCUUCCCUCUCGGUGACACCUGACGAGGGAGCAAGUUCGUCCCCUGGAGGGAAACAGAUGCCUGCCCAGCAAACAAGAAGAACCCAGGACAUUCCUGGGCAGGAGCUUCGGCCUGUCUGGAAGGGAUGAGCGGCCCCAGCAGAAGCAGCAGAACCUUCUCACCACCAGAGUCUGAACUCGCUGUCCUGGAUCCAGAAAGAUAAAAGGGGGCAAGCGUGAGUGCCAGGGCUCUCCUUUUCCCCAUCGAGCAGUUGGCGGCCUCAGAAACAGCCACGUCAUAGGAACGUUACCAGAUAUGCACAGAGGGAUGUUAUUCAGCCUUAGGAGAGAAUGAAACUCUGACACGUGACAACGCGGAUGAACCUGAAGACAUGGUGCUGAGCGAGAUGAGCCAGAUGCCGCAGUUCGACUUACUGAGGCUCCCAGAGUCGUGAAUUCAGAGGGACAGAAGGCAGAAUGCGGAUUGCCGAGGACCAGGGGAGAUGGGAGUGGGGACAGCUUUGGGAAGAAAGUAAAGAGGAUUCCUCUUUCCCCGAGGAAGUGAUCGCAUCUUUAUGUAGAAGAAGUCAACAGGCGAAUUUGCAGUGAGAUCUUUGAACUAAGGCUCUUAAGGGCACCUACCCGUCUGACACCAUUUGAAAGAGAAACUCAACUGAAAGCCUUCUGGAAAAAGACAAAAAGACACACCCGAACAGAGGACAAACAGGGAGCCUGGAAAAGAGAGACAGAGCGAGAAACAGGGUGACGUGUGUCCCAGUUUGCCAGGAGCUGUCCCACUUUAGCACCAGAUGUCUGAGCCCGUGGGUGUGCAUUGCACCCUAGUCUGAGCUAGAGGCCUCGGAUGGAGCACAGAAGACGUCGCAGUCUCAAAUUGGUUUACAGAAUACUUCUCAUUUCUCCCUACAAAUGUGAAGUGUAAUUUCACAAAUGAAUGACGUAUCGUGUGUGGAAGAGUCACAUGAAAACUAUGGACUCAUAACUGGAAAAUGUUUCAGGGUGACUCACUCAAGUGAAUAGAUCCCAUGAGAGCAGGGACAAGGCUCCUCCCCUCGCCCUCUCUCCUCUGUGGCAACCGGGAUUCCCUGUGGGUCGAAUCGUGCCCUUGCCCUAAAUAUGUUCAAGUGCUAACCCCAGCUACCUAUAAAGACGACCUUAUUUAGAGAUGGGAUCCCUCCGGAUGUAAUCAAGUUGAGUUCAGACUAGAUUAGACCUGGGCCUGAAUGACCCAGUGACUGGUGUCCUUAAAAAGGGAAUUCUGGACACAGAAACAGACACAAAGGAAGAAGUCCAUGUGACAAUGGAGGCAGAGAUUAGAGUGAUGCACUUAUAAGCUGAGGAAGGCCAGGGAUUGCUGGCAGCCCUCAGAAGCGAGGAAGGCAUGGAGUAGAUUCUCCCUCAGAGCUUCCAAAAUAGGAGCGAGCCCUGCUGACACUUGGGCGUCAGAUACCUACCCUCUAGAACUCGAGAGAAUAAGCUCCUGUUGUGCUACACCAACCAGAUGGUAGUACCUUGUUACAGCAGCCCCGGGAAACUAAUACAGAUGCUUCCACAUAGGUAACCCCAGGGAUCCUGAACAUUCAUAGAAUCUUUUUGAGUAACUACAAAGUUUCCAGAGCCUCUGUGGGCAUUAUGGGAGAAGCAAAGUCAAUGCCAAGACCCGGCCUCCUCUUUUGCCUGACUACCCCUGCGUCCUUUCCGAGUCUCCACAGAGCUGUUACCCCUUCUCGAAAGCCUUGCCCUCACUGGGUCUCCCUAGGUGGGCUCCAGUGGUUCGCAGCCACCUCUGGGUAUCAGAAUCACCCAGGGAGCUUUUAAAACAUGCUAAUGCCCUGUGACCUGAGAGUCUGAACAUGCGAGUUCAGGGCGUAGCAAGGGUGUUUUCUAAGACUUUGUAACGUGCAGGGUUGAGAAUCUCCGUUGGGGUGUUCCCUGCCCCCAGAUUCUCACCGCACCCUAUGAGUACUUCAGCCACAGACACCCUCGGUAUUGUGUUGAAAUCAUAUGCUUCUUUUCAUCUAGAAGAACAUUUCUCAGUUUGGGCUGCGUGAUCAAGUCACCAAAGGAGCUGAGAGCCCUGGCGUGCCCGACCAACCCCGGACCUCUGGAGUCAGGAGCUCUCUGGCUGUCUGCAAUUUGCAGCCAAGUUUGAAAACGACUGUACCAGAUCAUGAACUCUGUUGGAGCAGGAGUCUGGCUUUCUUGAUUUUGGGAACUCCCUGGCUACUAGGCUCCUGGUGCGUCCUGCUGCUGCGAGCCCACCAGUAGAUGUUUCUUAAAUUGAAGAUUUGUGGCACCCCAGCAUCAAGCAAUUAUUUUCAGAUGUUAUUUUCCCAACAGUAUCUGCUCCCUUCAUAGCUCUGUGUGUUAUAUUUUGGUAAUUCUCGCAGUACUUCAAGCCUUCUCAUCAUAUUUGUUAUGGUGAUCUGUGAUCAGUGAUUAUCACUUGCUGAAAGCUCAGAUGAGGGUGAGCAUUCUUUUUAGCAAUAAAGUAUUUUCAA
Long non-coding RNA from Canis lupus familiaris (dog), 2714 nucleotides. RefSeq lists it as uncharacterized. The record is from RefSeq and is a predicted model, not a curated record. NCBI's taxonomy places the organism in Eukaryota, Metazoa, Chordata, Mammalia, Carnivora, Canidae. The transcript has 4 exons.